Molecule: ribosomal RNA, 161 nt
Filed under: uncultured bacterium
Lineage: Bacteria
Description: partial 16S ribosomal RNA
Rfam family: Bacterial small subunit ribosomal RNA
Source: RNAcentral
UGGGGAAUUUUGGACAAUGGGCGCAAGCCUGAUCCAGCAAUGCCGCGUGAGUGAAGAAGGCCUUCGGGUUGUAAAGCUCUUUUGUCAGGGAAGAAACGGUGGGAGCUAAUAUCUCCUACUAAUGACGGUACCUGAAGAAUAAGCACCGGCUAACUACGUGC